UUUCCAUUCACCGCUCGGGGCGGGAUAACCCAGCAAGCUGCGCAUGCGCACAACGCUCAUCGCGGUCAGCCCCUAGCAACCCACACGCGCCAUCGCCGGAGGUGUGCGGCCUUUUUUUUAUUCGCCUGCACACUCUACAAGCAAGGUCGCAUGAACGGAGUCCCGGAUUCCGGGGCUGUCCAGGGGGCCGCAUCCCCAUCGUCGACAUCUCCCAAAGACACUAUUGUCAGGACAGCUGGCAGACUGCCUGACUGGGGACGCCG
Molecule: long non-coding RNA, 263 nt
Organism: Petromyzon marinus (sea lamprey)
Lineage: Eukaryota; Metazoa; Chordata; Hyperoartia; Petromyzontiformes; Petromyzontidae
Source: RefSeq, a predicted model, not a curated record